RNAcentral lists this long non-coding RNA (1296 nucleotides) under Homo sapiens (human). RNAcentral describes it as "HSALNT0231522". Lineage: Eukaryota; Metazoa; Chordata; Mammalia; Primates; Hominidae. The record is from RNAcentral.
GGAGAUGAGGCCAGGAGGGAACAGAAACUUGCCACACUGGGCCUUGGGGAUGCCCCAGCUUUGACAUUGUUGUUUGGGAGCCACGGAAGGGUUUUGAGCAGAGGAGUGGCGUGAUUAGAAAAUUACCCCUGUUGAGAACCACUGGGCUAGACACUCAAGAUUCCAGCCCUCAUGGGGCUUACAGUUCAGCCUAGGAGCCACUGGAGAUAAUGGCCAGUCAUAAUACAGUGUCAUGAUUAUAAUUGGGGAAAGUGAAAAUUCACCCAGAGCUGGUCUAAGCUCUGCUGCUGAAACAGCGUGUCACAUACUUAACAGCCUAAAUUUAUACAGAUGCGUUCUCUUACAGUUCUGGAGGCCAGAAGGCCAAAAUCAGUUGAAAAGGCCAGGUAUCACGGGGCUAGAUCCCUCUGGAGGCAAUAAGAGAAGUAUUUUCUUACUUUUUUUUUUUUUUUUCCAGCUUUGGGAAGCCAACUGCAUUCCUUGGCUUGUGCCUCCUUCCUCACAUCCAUGUCACCUUCUUCCUGUGCUGUAAUUGUACCUCCUUCUGCCUCCCUCGUAUGAGGAAACGUGAUUCUACCAUUGGGCCCUCCUGGAUCAUCUGGGUUACUCUCCCACUUCAAGGCCCCUAAUUUAAUCACAUCUGCAGUCUCUUCUGCUAUGUAAGUGGAGAAGCCAUGUUCAAGGCCCCAGUGUCAAGAUUCUCUAUCACUCGAUUUGUGGACACCCCACACAGCUCAAGUCCCCAAGAAGUACCAAGGCCCAGAGCCUCCCUGCAGGCUCUCUUGGGUCACUGGGAAGCAAGUAGGGGAUGAUUCUUCACCUUGAGAAGGCCUCAAACAGCUUCCCAACUGUGCGGCCUGUGGCUGGACUCAGCCUCGAGAGCAGUCCACUUGACAUGUUUCCAGGUCCCCAAGCAACAAGAUGACUGAACAGAGCUGCUCAGCUCCUGGGAGCUCUCCAGGGGCCUCCUGAAGGCAGCAUCCAGGUGUGAGCUCUAGAUACAGGUCAUCGGGUUUGAACUGGGAGUAGCCUGGAGAGGUGGCCCAGGGCCAAGGUCCCAGGUCUCUGGCCUUCAUUUCUCCUUGCUCCUUCUCAGACAUGAUCGUUGCCCUUCAACAAGAGAGUCGAGUCUACUCACAGAGACAAAGCUAAGUUCAAAUAUCAGCGCCACGCUCUCUAACUGUGUGACCUUGGGCAAGUUGAUUUAUUAGAAGGGCUUCAUGCGUCUCUGUUUUGUUCACUGUUCUAUUCCUAGAGCCAAAAACAUAGUGGCAGAGGGUGGAAUCUAAAAGGCGC